AGAGUUUGAUCAUGGCUCAGAUUGAACGCUGGCGGCAGGCCUAACACAUGCAAGUCGAGCGGUAACACAGGGAGCUUGCUCCUGGGUGACGAGCGGCGGACGGGUGAGUAAUGUCUGGGAAACUGCCUGAUGGAGGGGGAUAACUACUGGAAACGGUAGCUAAUACCGCAUAAUGUCGCAAGACCAAAGAGGGGGACCUUCGGGCCUCUUGCCAUCAGAUGUGCCCAGAUGGGAUUAGCUAGUAGGUGAGGUAAAGGCUCACCAAGGCGAUGAUACAUAGCCGACCUGAGAGGGUGAUCGGCCACAUUGGGACUGAGACACGGCCCAAACUCCUACGGGAGGCAGCAGUAGGGAAUCUUCGGCAAUGGACGAAAGUCUGACCGAGCAACGCCGCGUGUAUGAAGAAGGCCUUCGGGUUGUAAAGUACUUUCAGCGAGGAGGAAGGCAUUAAGGUUAAUAACCUUGGUGAUUGACGUUACUCGCAGAAGAAGCACCGGCUAACUCCGUGCCAGCCGCCGCGGUAAUAC
This 527-nucleotide ribosomal RNA is filed under the name uncultured bacterium. Its description in RNAcentral is "bacterial SSU rRNA". It matches the Rfam family "Bacterial small subunit ribosomal RNA", at positions 8 to 526 of the family's 1533-position model. The record is from RNAcentral.